ACGAAAAAACAUAAACAAACACAGAAGCUACGUCAGCUUGGUACGAACUUUGACAGUUCAAAGUUUUAGCUGCGUUGCUAGCGCGUUGCUAGAUUUGGUAACUCGCUCCCAACCGGGGCGUUACGUUUUAGUUUAGCAACGCAUUUGGCUACGACCGGUGUGGGAGCAAAGUUACUAACACGCGUUACAAAACCUUAAAACCUGCCUAAUACUCACGCUGGUAAGGUUGCUCUUACAUCGGUCACCCUAGUACAACUCUGACUUCAAAACCCAAUGACAAUUCUCGCCGGACUUGCGGGCAACUAUAAAUGGUAACCUACAAAUUUGGGCCCUUUUGCAGAGCAGUUGAGAAGAAGAGCAGUUCUCCUUUGAUGUCAACUGCACCGCAGCAAGCUUUGCUCCGGUCGCCAUCCCGCCGGGGGACCUUUCGCGGCAGCUCGCCCGUAGCCAACACAAGCUGUCAACUUCGGCACCAGAACAAAAGGG
Molecule: long non-coding RNA, 486 nt
Organism: Culex quinquefasciatus (southern house mosquito)
Lineage: Eukaryota; Metazoa; Arthropoda; Insecta; Diptera; Culicidae
Exons: 4
Source: RefSeq, a predicted model, not a curated record